Molecule: transfer RNA, 86 nt
Filed under: Deltaproteobacteria bacterium
Lineage: Bacteria; Pseudomonadati; Myxococcota; Myxococcia
Description: tRNA-Leu
Rfam family: tRNA
About the family: Transfer RNA (tRNA) molecules are approximately 80 nucleotides in length. Their secondary structure includes four short double-helical elements and three loops (D, anti-codon, and T loops).
Source: RNAcentral
GCGAGGGUGGCGAAACGGUACACGCGCUAGCCUCAGGAGCUAGUGACCGAAAGGUCGUGGGGGUUCGAAUCCCCCUCGCCGCACCA